GGCGGACGGGUGAGUAACGCGUAAGGAACUUGCCUCUUGGUCUGGGACAACUGUUGGAAACGACAGCUAAUACCGGAUAUUAUGAGAUUCUCGCAUGGGAAACUUAUGAAAGCUAUAUGCGCCAAGAGAGAGCCUUGCGUUCAAUUAGCUAGUUGGUGGGGUAACGGCCCACCAAGGCGACGAUGGAUAGCCGGCCUGAGAGGGUGAACGGCCACAAGGGGACUGAGACACGGCCCUCACUCCUACGGGAGGCAGCAGUGGGGAAUAUUGGACAAUGGGCCACAAGCCUGAUCCAGCAAUUCUGUGUGCACGAUGAAGGUCUUCGGAUUGUAAAGUGCUUUCAGUUGGGAAGAAGAAAGUGACGGUACCAACAGAAGAAGCGACGGCUAAAUACGUGCCAGCAGCCGCGGUAAUACGCAUGUCGCAAGCGUUAUCCGGAUUUAUUGGGCGUAAAGCGCGUCUAGGCGGAAAAAUAAGUCUGAUGUUAAAAUGCGGGGCUCAACUCUGUAUUGCGUUGGAAACUGUUUUUCUAGAGUACUGGAGAGGUGGGCGGAACUACAAGUGUAGAGGUGAAAUUCGUAGAUAUUUGUAGGAAUGCCGAUGGAGAAGUCAGCUCACUGGACAGAUACUGACGCUAAAGCGCGAAAGCGUGGGGAGCAAACAGGAUUAGAUACCCUGGUAGUCCACGCCGUAAACGAUGAUCACU
RNAcentral lists this ribosomal RNA (706 nucleotides) under uncultured bacterium. Its description in RNAcentral is "bacterial SSU rRNA". It matches the Rfam family "Bacterial small subunit ribosomal RNA", at positions 97 to 817 of the family's 1533-position model. The record is from RNAcentral.